UACAGAGGGUGCGAGCGUUAAUCGGAAUUACUGGGCGUAAAGCGCACGUAGUCGGCUUUGCAAGUCGGUUGUGAAAUCCCCGGGCUCAACCUGGGAACUGCAUCCGAGACUGUAUUGCUAGAGUAUGGGAGAGGGAAGCGGAAUUUCUGGUGUAGCAGUGAAAUGCGUAGAUAUCAAGUGGAACACCGGUGGCGAAGGCGGCUCUCUGGUCCAUUUCUGACGCUGAGGUGCGAAAGCUAGGGGAGCAAACGGG
This 253-nucleotide ribosomal RNA is filed under the name uncultured prokaryote. RNAcentral's name for it is "partial 16S ribosomal RNA". It matches the Rfam family "Bacterial small subunit ribosomal RNA", at positions 524 to 776 of the family's 1533-position model. The record is from RNAcentral.